RNAcentral lists this ribosomal RNA (372 nucleotides) under uncultured organism. RNAcentral describes it as "bacterial SSU rRNA". It matches the Rfam family "Bacterial small subunit ribosomal RNA", at positions 526 to 896 of the family's 1533-position model. The record is from RNAcentral.
CGUAGGUGGCGAGCGUUGUCCGGAAUUACUGGGUGUAAAGGGCGUGUAGGCGGGAAUGCAAGUCAGAUGUGAAAUGCCGAGGCUUAACCUCGGAGCUGCAUCUGAAACUGUGUUUCUUGAGUGUCGGAGAGGAAAGUGGAAUUCCCAGUGUAGCGGUGAAAUGCGUAGAUAUUGGGAGGAACACCAGUGGCGAAGGCGACUUUCUGGACGAUAACUGACGCUGAGGCGCGAAAGCGUGGGGAGCAAACAGGAUUAGAUACCCUGGUAGUCCACGCCGUAAACGAUGGAUACUAGGUGUAGGGGGUAUCGACCCCCCCUGUGCCGCAGUUAACACAAUAAGUAUCCCACCUGGGGAGUACGGCCGCAAGGUUG